RNAcentral lists this ribosomal RNA (305 nucleotides) under uncultured bacterium. Its description in RNAcentral is "partial 16S ribosomal RNA". It matches the Rfam family "Bacterial small subunit ribosomal RNA", at positions 508 to 807 of the family's 1533-position model. The record is from RNAcentral.
ACAGCAGCCGCCGCGGUAAUACGUAGGGUGCAAGCGUUAAUCGGAAUUACUGGGCGUAAAGCGUGCGCAGGCGGUUUGUUAAGACAGAUGUGAAAUCCCCGGGCUCAACCUGGGAACUGCAUUUGUGACUGGCAAGCUAGAGUCUGGCAGAGGGGGGUGGAAUUCCGCGUGUAGCAGUGAAAUGCGUAGAUAUGCGGAGGAACACCGAUGGCGAAGGCAGCCCCCUGGGCCAACACUGACGCUCAUGCACGAAAGCGUGGGGAGCAAACAGGAUUAGAUACCCCUGUAGUCCCUGUCUCUUAUAC